UACAGAGGGUGCGAGCGUUGUUCGGAAUUAUUGGGCGUAAAGGGCGCGUAGGCGGCGCCACAAGUCACCUGUGAAAACUCUGGGCUUAACUCAGAGCCUGCAGGCGAAACUGUGGUGCUGGAGUAUGGGAGAGGUGCGUGGAAUUCCCGGUGUAGCGGUGAAAUGCGCAGAUAUCAGGAGGAACACCAACAGCGAAGGCAGAUCUCUGGGACGUUACUGACGCUGAGACGCGAAAGCGUGGGGAGCAAACAGG
Molecule: ribosomal RNA, 253 nt
Filed under: uncultured bacterium
Lineage: Bacteria
Description: partial 16S ribosomal RNA
Rfam family: Bacterial small subunit ribosomal RNA
Source: RNAcentral